This 262-nucleotide ribosomal RNA is filed under the name uncultured bacterium. RNAcentral describes it as "partial 16S ribosomal RNA". It matches the Rfam family "Bacterial small subunit ribosomal RNA", at positions 355 to 617 of the family's 1533-position model. The record is from RNAcentral.
UGAGGAAUAUUGCACAAUGGGCGCAAGCCUGAUGCAGCGACGCCGCGUGUGGGAUGAAGGGGCUACGCCUCGUAAACCACUGUAGCCCGGGACGAAAAACGCCUUAGAGGCGUUAGACGGUACCGGGAAAGUAAGGGUCGGCUAACUACGUGCCCGCAGCCGCGGUAAUACGUAGGACCCAAGCGUUGUCCGGAUUUACUGGGUGUAAAGGGUGCGCAGGCGGAUGGGUAAGUCAGGGGUGAAAGUCUGCAGCUUAACUGUA